AUAGCGUAUAUUAAAUUUGUUGCAGUUAAAAAGCUCGUAGUUGGAUUUCUGGGAGGGUGCCAAUGUCCGCUCGUUCGCGUGUGCAGCGGCGCCCUUCCAUCCUUCUGUUAACGUUUCUGGUAUUCAGUUACUGGACUCGGGCUCAGAUAUUUUACCUUGAGAAAAUUAGAGUGUUCCAGGCAGGCUAGCGCCGGAAUACAUUAGCAUGGAAUAAUAGAAUAGGACUUUAGUCUCCUUUGUUGGUUUGAGGGACUGAAGUAAUGAUUAAUAGGGAUAGUUGGGGGCAUUAGUAUUUAAUUGUCAGAGGUGAAAUUCUCGGAUUUGUUAAAGACUAACUUAUG
This 341-nucleotide ribosomal RNA is filed under the name uncultured eukaryote. RNAcentral describes it as "SSU rRNA". It matches the Rfam family "Eukaryotic small subunit ribosomal RNA", at positions 594 to 945 of the family's 1831-position model. The record is from RNAcentral.